This is a non-coding RNA of Sus scrofa (pig), 3540 nucleotides long. The record is from RefSeq and is a predicted model, not a curated record. NCBI's taxonomy places the organism in Eukaryota, Metazoa, Chordata, Mammalia, Artiodactyla, Suidae.
GAUCCAACACACAUCUUCGUGAAUACUAGUCGGGUUAGUUACACCUGAGCCACAAAGGGAAUUCCUCAACAAAUGGAUUUUAACUGCCUUUUCAUUUCUGAUUUACAUGACACCUGUGACAAUUUAGUAAUGGUGGCUGGGGCUUGUCUUCUCUCUUGAGACAUGAAUGUGGGACUCCGUUGCAUCAAGAGACUGAAAGAAAAUAUUGUACCUACUUAAGGCAAAUCAUAACCUGUAAGAUGACAUAUGGCCUAGAUGAUCUCUAAAGAUAUUUCCUAGGUAAUUUUCUGUGAUUCUAAAUUCAAUUUGCUAUGUGGAAAAGACUCAAGAAUAUUGUUCUAAAAUGCCGGACUAGUUGCCCAGCAGAUGGUGCUGCUGCCACAUACUUGCAGAAGCAAAAAAAACGGUUGCUCCUCAUAAAUUGUAAGAUACUUUAUAACAUAGGCUCUGGAAAUUUCCAUGCGGGAAUGAAAACUUUGUAGUGAUAAAUUCCAUUGACACUGGGUUUUCGUCUUCUCUUACAUUGUGCCCCAAAAUUCAAAUGUGACUUUAUAUCACCUUCCUGCUCCUUUUUUUCCCCUUCUUGAUCUGAUCAUGUUUACCUUUAUAACUGCUCAGAAUUUACACAGUAAAUGAACACCAACACCAUACCACCUGCUAAUUCAUUUCAUUUCAUUAAUUCAUUUAUUCAGGACAUAUUGAAUGAGUGCCUGUAUCUGUUCCAGGCACUAAUCUAGGCAUCAAGGUGGCCGCAGUGGAGAUGGUCAAAGAUACUGACCUUCUGGAUCUUAAAGCUCUAAUUUGCUGAGGAGUAAGGCAUUGUAGGCAUUUUGCUAUUGUUUUCUUUUUGAAAGCACUAGUUUAAAAAUAUAGCCUGGUUUCUCAUACAAAAUAUAUUGGGCAGACUCUUGCUUCUGUGAAUCUUCUCUUGGCCAAAUCCUCUGAGUUUAACCCAGGACUGUACAAAUUUACUAAAACAGCCUUUUUCUUUUCAAAUGUUCCAGACAGUUAACCAAUUUGCAAAUCCAUAUAAUAGAUGGUCAUCUCCUCAAAGGGGAGAAAUACCACCGUCACCUCCCUCUCUGCAAUUUAGGAAAAUUUCAAAUUACGUCACUUAGCAAUGCUCAGAAAGAAGAUUCUAUUUAAAGAGGAAGCCUAUUUUUAUGAAUCUAGAUGUGGUUAUAUUUAUAAGUGACAUAUACCUUUGAACGCUUUAUCAUCAUGAUCUGGCACAGCCUCAUCAAUUCCAUCAUCAAAGCUGUUUCGGUGACAUUUAAUAGAACCCCACCUUCUUGAAUGGGGGAUGUAAAUUUUUAGUAUAGUGAAACCAUUUUUUAAAAAUGGUAAUUACUUUAGGAGUGCAAACUCCCCACAUAUUUCUUGUAGCCUGGGCUCAUACUGUGGUUUACUACAUUCCCUUGUUUUCAUCCAAUAGAAAUGCUGACCCAUUGGUACAAUUUAUGUUACAGCCAAAGAAGAAAGCAAAAAGAGGCCAGUGAAGGAUGAUUGAUUGAUUCUGUGUUUGUAAUUGGGGUUGAUUGACAUGGUCUGAUACUCUGCGUCCCAGGCUGGAGUGGUUUGGUCAUUAAGCAGUCAUUCAGGCUCAGAAACAAGGGACCCAGAUGUGCUCUGCUGUCUGUUCUGGGGCACAGGGUUGGGCAUUUACAAUAUAAUGAAAGCCCAGCAUUCGGGCUUGUGUCUAAGACCCAGUCAGCAUCAAAGUCAGCUAAACGACAGCUGGCAUUUUAAAGGGCUUGCUAAGAGCUCGGCCCCAUGCACCAGUGUUUUAUAAGCUUUACCUUCAACCUUCAUAACUCUAUUGCCCCCCUUUUCCAGUUGGGGGUGCAGAGGGGGUAAGGAAUUUGCAAAAAAAAAAAAAUCACUUAGAUGAUGAAGCCAGAAUUUAAUGCAGAAGCCGGAACUCUUAACCAUUAUACUCUCUGCCCUCGGAUUUUCUUCAGUAAGUCCCACUGCUCUGGGUUCCUAGGUCCUAAUGCCCCCCUGCCUAAUUUCCUGGAGGCAGGUCUUAGAAGUGGAGGGUGGAGCCGAGUCAAAGGUCAAAGGUCUCAGCGUGAGGUCAGAAGCCUGUUGGGGUUUAGAUUGAUCAUCAUCUGGCCGUUUUCCCAGGCACAGGAAGCAGCCUGGGAGCCCUCAAACUUGCUGCCUCUUGGGGCACGUGGGUCAGCCUUGCCCUGCCAGUGACGCUGGAGCACGAGGGGACUUUUCUCUGAUAUAUACUGUGAGAUCCUGAUCAAGCUCCUGGAGUUAAAACUCACGGAAGUGUGGAGGGCCUUUCUAUGAUUGGAUCCACUUGGAUCUGAGAUUUGCCCAUUUUGAGCCUACAGCAAUUCCUCAUUUCCAGUUCUAGCUCCCAUGCAGUCUGCGGCUCUUGAAAUGUCUGCUCAGAGGAAACCAUUAGUUUUCAUGGACCUGAGUUCUCAGCCAACUCUUAAAUACUUAAGCACCCCCAAUGGACCACUACACAUACUCUCUAAUCCUAGAAUUUUCAAUUGCUUCUCCAGUCUCUAGUACAGAUAGAUUCCUCUAUGAAGAAUAAACUGGAUACUAGUCAAAUUCUUUUCUGCUGAGACACAACGGGAGCUCCCAGAACCUGCUUCUUAUUGGGAGCACCAAUGUGCCCAGACUCUCAAGUUACUUGCCUUAUGAUCACAAGGUGAGAUGGCUGAUGAAGUUCUAUGCAUCAGAGCAUCCCAUGUCCACAUUCGAGGCAGGAAGAAGAGUGAAGGAGCUGUCCCAGAAAGUACUCUUUGCACAUUCAUCCCUUUCUAGGGAAAAAAAGAUCCUUUCCGGAAGUUCCCAACAGACUUCCUCUUCCAUUUAGCUGACUGGAACUGUGUCACAUGGAUAGUUUUAGCUAUAGAAGAGACCAAGAAUGUAAGUACUUCUUUUAACCUCUUUCAUAGGAAGUGUCAGAGAAGAGGGUUGGGAUUACUAUUGUGUACCAACUGACAGCAUCUGCCAUACUUUAUUCACUGUGCUGAGAGAUUAUUUCCGGGCUGCCUAACCUUAACUUUAGACUCCUAGCAGUUUUGCAGUUUCCUAGAUAUGUUGAAGAGGGAGAGGCCCAUUUUUCAGAGAGGUCCUGGCUUAAACCUCCUGUGGGCCUAUAAGUUAAACAGAAUUUUCCCACCACUUUGGGAUUCUGUUUUUCAUGUUUUGGUUUGUUUUACUGCUUGUUUAUUAUCCCAGGAACUAUAGUAUAGCCAUAACAGAAAAUUACAUAAUUAUUUUGUGUAACUGAAACAGACAAGAAAACAAUUCAGAGCUUUUAUUUUUAAAGGUUAUCAAUGAACUUAGAAUAUCAAAAUGGAAUGAAAUUUACUGUGACUCUCCCUUUGGGAUAUAAUUGGGCUAUCACUGAGCUCCCCAAAUAGCAAACCCUGAAAAGAAAGACUCAAUUUUAACUAACAACAUAUACAUCUUUACCCAAAUCCUUUUGCCUGACCCUCAUUAAUACAACCAAAAUCUGGAGUUCCUGUUGUGGCUCAUUGGUUAAUGAAUCCAACUAGGAACCAUGAA